CUUCACUGGGAACAGCACUGCCAUUGAAGGAGUCUGCAAACUCUGCAGAAGAAGCUAACUCACAAGCUGGAGUUACACAACAAGCUUCAAAAUAGCAUCAUUGAGAGAACUGGCUGGAAACCCUGGAGAACCCUAUGCCAUGGUUGCUGAGAAGCUGUGAAGAUGAUAUCUGUGUCUGUUUUCCUGCAGCUGCUCCCUUUCUUCUGAACAAGAGAAGAAGCUUCCUUUCCUACAUGACAAUAUGAGUUUUGUGCUCCAUUGAUAAAGCAGCUUCUAGUAUCUCACUAUCAUGGCAGUCCAGCAUGUCAUUAUGGUGAUAUCAGAUGCCAGCACCGGAGGAGGUCUUCAUGAAGUUUCAUGCAAGGUAGAAGUUGUAUACACUAUCACUGUUACAGAAAAUGGAAACUAUUUUCUCAAGCCUCAUGCACGUCAAACUCCAUGGUUUAUACUAAAAGCAGAUUUUAUAGCCUGUUUUGUACACUUCAUGUUUCCUGUGCCAAGGAACCGCAAGAUAGAAAACCUGCAACCUGUGAAGUUCCUCUGCCUCAGAACUCUGUGUAGCAUCGUCGCCGAUAGUUUCCAGCACGGCAGCACACACUUCCAGCUCUCUAAUAUGUGGUUCAGCUACAGGGUGACUGAGGUGGUGAUUCAGUAGGUUGCAAGCUUCCCUCUGUCAAUAUUGAACUUAUGCCCCACUAUCCAGGUAUGCAUCACUGUAUAAAGGACUAUCCUUCUGAUUGGGAUACAAGAGUAAGGCAGCAAUUGAUUACUGUUGUUCUGGAUCCCAUGGCAGUUAAUUUUUUCAUGGGUGGAAAUAUUAACUUCUGGGAGCUGGCCAGAUUUCAGUUUGGAGGAAUACAUUCUGCUUAAGCUUUCUUUUCCUGUCCUUACGCUGGUUUAUAUUCUUGCUGUUCCGAUGGCUUCUUUCCACAUGACACAAGGCUGCACACCCUUGGGUGGGAGAUGAUUUCUCUGGAUCCAAGGAACAGGGGAUGUAAUCCCCAUUAUUGAAGAGUUCAUUCACCCUCUGUCCAAAAGCACAACAAUCUAGAGAUGUUUGAGAUUAGUUCUGGGUUCUCACAUGAUAUCUGCUGGCAAAAGAACACGCACGUGACAGGGUAGAGCAAAUAUAAGCUUACCGUGUGGCUUGUUACCACAAUGCAGGCCACUUGGAAACAUCAGUUAAUUCUAACAAAGGUAUGUUGCUAAUAGGAGCUGUAUGCUGCAAGAAGCACAUAAAACCAGUUCUCCUAUGUUUCUACUGGUUCCAUUUUAGGUAACCAAGCUAUAUAAUUAUUUUAUAAUUCUGGUCUAAUAUUAAGUGUUGAUUCUGAUAUUUGUAAAAACCUUCCAUACUUCAGAUGUUUGGUAGUUGAGAAGCA
This is a long non-coding RNA of Cuculus canorus (common cuckoo), 1382 nucleotides long. RefSeq lists it as uncharacterized. Lineage: Eukaryota; Metazoa; Chordata; Aves; Cuculiformes; Cuculidae. The record is from RefSeq and is a predicted model, not a curated record. The transcript has 4 exons.